This 1754-nucleotide long non-coding RNA is filed under the name Homo sapiens (human). RNAcentral describes it as "HSALNT0372751". The record is from RNAcentral. Lineage: Eukaryota; Metazoa; Chordata; Mammalia; Primates; Hominidae.
GGUGCCUGCGAUCCCCAAAACCCCAAAGGGCGUUUUUUACAGUGCUCUUUUAGCUCUGCUGACCGCGGAUGGCUUAAGUGUUAACAGCUCAGUGGGCCCUUUGCCUUUUCUCAUGAGUCGGCUGCCCUGUGCCAGCAAGGGCAAAGGGCCAGUGUAACAGCCUUUUGUAUCUGCACUCGUGGCUCCUGAGCUCCUGUUCGGCACACAGGAAAAAUGAGGUCGCACCAACAAACUGAAGGAUGGUAAAUGUUGAGGAUUUUAUUGCCAAUGAAAGCGGCUGUCACUGGGAGCUGAAAAGGUAAUGGAAAGCUGAAAAGCGGAUAAGGGAGAUGUUUCCUAUUAUCCUUGAUAAUGUGCCAUGAACAUAUGAAAAAACAUAGAAACAUGAAGAAAACAAGAAGACAAAAAUCACUAACAUCUGGUUGGCUGUAUAGAAACAAAGCUGAUUCUGCUUGCAAAUGGAUCUUACAGACGUUGUCACAGAGACAAGAAAAGCAUAUAAAAAAAUAAAUAAAGAUGAGCUCCUUUCAAGGUGACUGACUAGAAGCAGCUGGUGUGUGCUGCUCUCACAAAGAGAAGAAAGAGUGGUGAGUGGACCAUCCAGGUGGACACAUUGGGAUUCAUCAAGGAAACAAUACACAGAAAACAGAAGAAUGAGACAGGACAAUCAUUCACCCAGAAGUGGCAUAGAGCCGGGAGAUGGCCCUCACCAUGGUUAGUAAGUGAGAGUCCCCAGGGAGUCACAUUUCUGCCACAGACCUUUGCAACCCUGGGCCCAGGCGAUCCCCCAUGACACCCGUGCCCCACCAGGGCCUCUGGACUGACAUAGACAGCUACAUGGAGUGUGGGCAGAACUGCCACUCAGGCACUCAUGAAAUCCUUGGAGCUUUUCAUCCCCAGGCACCCUGGUACCAAUGGCUGCAGCUGCGGCAAUGGGGGAGGACAGGCUCUCUUGCAUGUCCUCAGAAUAGGAACACAAUCCAUGGGGCUAAGCAGUGGGUGGACUGUGGGGCUCUUCUACACAGCCCGUUGCCAGACUGGCCUGGGAUCCUAGCAUGGUCACAAAAGUCCCACCUGGGCUCUUGAGGAACAGAUCUGUACUUCCCUGGCAUGGAACUCCUGGAGGGGAUGGGCAGGCUGCUGUUUUUGCUGCUCCACAGCCCUCACUCCUGUUGCCCUCAGUCUUGGGAGUGAGCACAGUGAUUGGGGACUAACAUAGACCCCCAGCACAGUGUACAGACUUGCAGAAAAGCAGCCAGACUCUUUUCCACAUGGGUCCUCACCCCUGCUACUCUUCACUGGGCAGCACCUCUUGACCUUGGCCCCCAGCACAACCAACCCGCCCCCACAUGAACGCUUUGUCAGUGAUGGCUCUGUGUUUCUCUGAGGAGAAAAAUCCAAAAGACAAUCCAUAAGCCUUCUGCUAUUGCAGCUGCAGUGGUAUGGCCCUUACUACCUUCAGGCUGGGGAAAGAACGAAGGACUUGGUCCUUACACUGGCCCCUCCAGCACACCAUCGCCACCAUAUGGAGAAGAGCCCAGUCUCUCUUCCCCGUAAGCCCCCACUCACCACUGUUCACCAGGCAAGGCCCCUAGUUGGGGACAGCAGAGCAGCUGUCCUACCCCCGGAUGAGAAUUCCCACUGCUAUUGGCUCUAUAUUUUCCUGAGGUGGGCCUCCCAGAAGCAAUUGACAUCCCCUCUGUCACUGUCAUGGCAGCAGUUCUGCCCUUACUGCACUCAGACUGGGGAAAGAA